RNAcentral lists this ribosomal RNA (484 nucleotides) under uncultured bacterium. Its description in RNAcentral is "partial 16S ribosomal RNA". It matches the Rfam family "Bacterial small subunit ribosomal RNA", at positions 30 to 507 of the family's 1533-position model. The record is from RNAcentral.
AUUGAACGCUAGCGGGAUGCUUUACACAUGCAAGUCGAACGGCAGCGCGGACUUCGGUCUGGCUGCGAGUGGCGAACGGGUGAGUAAUGUAUCGGAACGUGCCCAGUAGCGGGGGAUAACUACGCGAAAGCGUAGCUAAUACCGCAUACGCCCUACGGGGGUAAGCAGGGGAUCGUAAGACCUUGCACCAUUGGAGCAGCCGAUGUCGGAUUAGCUAGUUGGUGAGGUAACGGCUCACCAAGGCGACGAUCCGUAGCUGGUUUGAGAGGACGACCAGCCACACUGGGACUGAGACACGGCCCAGACUCCUACGGGAGGCAGCAGUGGGGAAUUUUGGACAAUGGGGGCAACCCUGAUCCAGCCAUCCCGCGUGUGCGAUGAGGGCCUUCGGGUUGUAAAGCACUUUUGGCAGGAAAGAAACGUCGCGGGCUAAUACCCCGUGGAACUGACGGUACCUGCAGAAUAAGCACCGGCUAACUACGUG